This 1708-nucleotide ribosomal RNA is filed under the name metagenome. RNAcentral's name for it is "bacterial LSU rRNA". It matches the Rfam family "Bacterial large subunit ribosomal RNA", at positions 1180 to 2910 of the family's 2925-position model. The record is from RNAcentral.
GUAUAAGACAGGCACCGAAGGCGCGGGAUAGCAAAUAAUAAAAGUAUCGGUAGGGGAGCAUUCCAUCGGCGUAGAAUGCAGUAGGUGACUACUGCUGGAGCCUAUGGAAAAGCAAAUGUAGGUAUAAGUAACGAUUAGGAGGGCGAGAACCCCUCCCGCCGAACAACUAAGGUUUCCCAGGCAAUGCCAUUCAUCCUGGGGUCAGUCGGGUCCUAAGGCUAAGCCGAGCGGCGAGGCCGAUGGCAGGCACGGUCAACAUUCCGUGACUACCGCCAUCAGUGAUGUCCAGACGGAGCAGUGACACCUCCGCGCCCUGACGGAAUAGGGCGUUGAAGGGCGUAGGCUAUGAUGAUGCCAGGCAAAUCCGGCAUCAGAGCUGAAACCUGAAAGUACGGGGUCCCCUUCGGGGGAACCUGAGAGCGAGGGUAAUCAUACUCCCGAGAAAAUGGGCUAAACUCAUGUUGGCGGUACCCGUACCGCAAACCGACACAGGUAGUUGGGUAGAACAUACUAAGGCGUUGAGAGAUUCAUGGCUAAGGAACUAGGCAAACUGACCCCGUAACUUCGGGAUAAGGGGUCCUCACCUCCGGGUGAGGCGCAGAGAAUAGGUCCAGGCAACUGUUUAACAAAAACACAGGGCUGUGCGAACUCGAAAGAUGAAGUAUACAGCCUGACACCUGCCCGGUGCCGGAAGGUUAAGAGGAGAUGUCACCGCAAGGGAAGCAUUGAAUUGAAGCCCCGGUAAACGGCGGCCGUAACAAUAACGGUCCUAAGGUAGCGAAAUUCCUUGUCGGGUAAGUUCCGACCUGCACGAAUGGUGUAAUGAUCCGGACGCUGUCUCGGCCAUGAGCUCAGUGAAAUUGUAGUAUCGGUGAAGAUGCCGAUUACCCGCGAUGGGACGAAAAGACCCCGUGAACCUUUACUACAGCUUAGCAUUGACCUUGGUCAUCCGAUGUGUAGGAUAGGCCGGAGGCUUCGAAGCGGCGUCGCCAGGCGUUGUGGAGCCAUCCUUGAAAUACGGCCCUUUGGCUGUCUGAGGUCUAACGCGGAUAGUCGCGGACACUGCUUGGUGGGUAGUUUGACUGGGGUGGUCGCCUCCAAAAGCGUAACGGAGGCUUCCAAAGGUGCCCUCGGGCCGUUUGGUAAGCGGCCUUCAAGAGUGCAAUGGCAAAAGGGCGCUUGACUGGGAGGGAGACAUCCCGAGCAGGCAGGAAACUGGGGCAUAGUGAUCCGGCGGAUGUGUAUGGAAACUCCGUCGCUCAAAGGAUAAAAGGUACUCCGGGGAUAACAGGCUGAUUCCCCCCAAGAGCUCAUAUCGACGGGGUGGUUUGGCACCUCGGUGUCGGCUCGUCACAUCCUGGGGCUGGAGAAGGUCCCAAGGGUUGGGCUGUUCGCCCAUUAAAGUGGCACGCGAGCUGGGUUCAGAACGUCGUGAGACAGUUCGGUCUCUAUCUAUCGUGGGCGCAGGAGUUUUGAGUGGUGCUGUCACUAGUACGAGAGGACCGUGACGGACAGACCUCCGGUGUACCGGUUGUGCCGCCAGGCGCACCGCCGGGUAUCCGCGUCUGGAUCGGAUAAGCGCUGAAAGCAUCUAAGUGCGAAGCUUUCCACGAGAUUAGAACUCCAUUGAGGGUCGUCGCAGACGACGACGUUGAUAGGGCGCAGGUGUAAAGACGGCGACGUCAAAGCCGAGCGCUACUAAUUGCCC